RNAcentral lists this long non-coding RNA (3925 nucleotides) under Mus musculus (house mouse). RNAcentral describes it as "long non-coding RNA chr12:5442896-5446821". Lineage: Eukaryota; Metazoa; Chordata; Mammalia; Rodentia; Muridae. The record is from RNAcentral.
UAGGGGGCGGGUGACACGUGACACCGAUGGCUGCCAGGUGCACUCUAAUGAUUGUUUUCACUGAAGAAUUUUGGACUCCAUGCCAUACAAUUUUCAUCCUUUUUGCAAAAUGGAUGAUAAUUUGGGUCUGUCUUGACUGCUGGUUUUGCAUUGCUAAUAUUGGUGGGAGGAGGGUUUUGCCUAAGUUCUCUUAAAAAUAUGAGAAUUUCAGUCCAAAAUAUGUGAAUUUUUAAUUGCGAUCUUGGCAGCCUGGGGUGGGCUUUGCGUGAGCAUCUGCCCCUUCCUCCUUGUCCCUCUGCAGCCUCUGCCUUGCCUCUCCUUCCCUCUCUAGCCUUCACCUGGGUUAGGGAUGCCCCCUCUCUCCCACUCUUCCUCAUUCCCUGCAGUGCGUUUCCCUCAGCAGCAGGACCGGGCCCUGGUUUCUGCCCCAGGGUGGGGUCAGCAGCUGUGCAUUCCCAGGGUUUCCAUUACAAAUGUUAUUUUCCAGGGGCUUCUAACCAAGUCAUACACAUUUGUGUGGGCUUGGAACCCAGCCUUCUGGGCAAGGUCUCAGACUGCAUGCACAGCCUCGCGGUUCUGUGCAAAAUCUCAUUACUGUCACUUCGACCAUUUUCCUGGUUGAGAAACUAGCUGGUGCAUGCUUUCAAAGGCUGUUUAUACCUCGAGAGCUUGCAAGACAGGGGUAGCAACUGUUAAAGAAACAGGGUCCUGCACCCUGCCCAGCCUACCAGUGAUCAAACACCACAUGUGCUGGGAUCGUCCAGAAGCCUCCAAAUAUACCUUAUUUCCCAAGCUCCUUAGCUUUACACAGCAACAUGGUCUGACAUUUAAAAUUAAUCUAUGUGGUAAAGUUAUUAGCAUUCGAAUGUUAGCACUGGAAUAUCCACAGUGACCUCUCCUCCCGGGCUGGUGUUUGUUUGAUGAGGAUUCCCAGGCUGUGUCAGGGCUGAAAGCAACACAGUCCCACAUACUUUUUAUUAAUUCCAGUACUAGGCCUCACCUUGGGAGAUCUCCAAGUGCUCUGUAGGGGAGCUCUGAUUUCUCCAGGCAAUAGCUGGAGGAACCACAAGCCAGCUAUUGCAAAUGCCAAAUAGGCUUCUCUUGUCCAGAGAGACAAUGAAGACCCAGAGAGGAGCCAGCAGGAUGUUUAAUAGCUGCUGGGAGCCAUUGUUCUGGGGCUGAAGCAAGCACCUAAAUGACCAUGGUUGUCAGGCAUAAUCUCAUACCCACACAUUUAUGAGUGUCUGUGCUCUUUCAUGUCAUGCCCGUGGCCUUCUCCUAGUCACAAUCAGUCUAACGAAAGGGACCAGAGGAAAGGCUGAUUCAUCUGACCAUGCCUGUCCUUAUUAUGGUAUAAAGUACACACAUGUUAGCUUCUGGGCAACUAUGGAUGAGCUCAGGCGAUAGACUAAAGGGAGCAUACUUACUAACCCCUUCAGUAGGUAAAACAUGAAGUAGGAAAGACAAUCCAUCAAGUGGAACAGCACAAUAAAACAGAAUAUUGAGGGGAUUUUAAAGAAAUAGCAGACUGUGAUUUAGCUGGGGAAGGAAGAACUGGAAGGAUGGAGGUGGGGAGAGCUCUGCAAACACUAAUUCACAGGGGACUAGACUAUCAGUCCACAAUGGACAGUCUGGGUGGAGGGCUUUUUAAAGCAUGCUUUGCAAUCAGGUGUCACAAUGUCAGGUUCAGAGGGCUAAGGUGACAUCUGAUUGGAGGAUGUAUUAAGGAGAAGAACAGUAUGACUUCUUGCUUGCUUCUGUUAUUAAGCAGAUCAGCCACCUCAUCAUCCCCCUGCUUCUGCCACCCAGAGUCCUCGACCAUUCUCACCUGUCUGCCCAAUACAUUAGACUUCUCUGGGGUUCAUCUUCUGAUAAAUCCUCACCUUGCUUUGUCUUCUCUGUGGUGACCGCACCCAUAUUCACACUCCCAUCUGCUCUCCUGUGCAGCUGACAUGAGAAUCCCACUCCUGCCUGUGCCACCCUCUGAGCACUAGUCUGUGUAUAUGUACCUGUCCUAUUUCCUCAAGAACCUUAAGAAGGUAGAGUUUCCAUCUGUGAGCCACCUUGGAGACUCCAACUCACUGUAGUCUGUCUCUCUUCUGUUCUCUCUAGCUUGCUGAGUCUCCAAGGAUUUUUCUCUGUGGAUUCUUGUUGAUACCUCGUAUAGUUCUGUUCCUACCCCUUUCUUCCUAAUUUCCCAUCUUUCCCUUAAAAAAGAGUUGAGGCCUGUUGGGAGAGCUGAGAUGAGAAGAACCCCUCCUGGGACUGUAGACAUUGGCUGGGAGUAAGCCUGAAACAGGUGACCCCCACAUGGGGCCAUGUGGGCAGGUCUAGACCAAGAGCAAGCCAAAGAUGACCACCAGUCUAGUGCUGGGGGCCCAGAGAGGGAGCUAGCCUGAAAUGACCACCAGUCUGGGCCACAUAGACCUUAGGUUGAGUGGGUGGGGGCAGACCAUGCCUGAAAUGACCCUAGCCUGAUGCCUCAAUGUAAAGAUGGGACAUAGCACUUCUGAAAUGACCCCACAGACCGUGGGUACCACUAAGAGGAGCAAAUAAGUGGUGGAGAAAUGGAAGAGAAAGAGAAGCAGAAGGAUGUGGACACCGUGAGAAGAGGUAGAACUGGAGACUCGAGGGUAAUGAGGGACAGCCUGAUGUGAGUAGCUGGUGAUACCAUGUGGGGCCAUCAUGGGAUCCUGGUCUGUGCUACCACUGGGGACCAUGCCUGGGCCCAUUGACCUAUAGCAGGGGUUUUAUUGACACAAAAGGCUAAGUAGGUGUUCCUGGUCUGGGUGACUCUGGGGGCAUGCCAAUGUUGGAGGGCUGUGCAGAACCAGCCCCACCCCUCACCUGGGCAUCUUGGGAGAACUAGCCAUCAUGAUAUGAGAAAGCUGACCCUACCCCUAGCUAGCUACAGUACUAGCGAGAGGAGGCCUUGAAACUGGCCCAGGAAGCAGGCCCUGGUUUUUAGGAGUUGCAAGUGCACUGGCCCCAUGGGUAUGAGUGUGGGGGAACUGGCCCAGACUGCUGCCUGUCUCCCCUGACACGGACAUGGGAGAGAUACCUUCCUUCCCUCUUGCUACUUGCAGCAGGCAGGAGACCCAUCCUGGGGUCAUGGGAACAGGAGCACUAUCCUUGUCCCUCACCAGCUGCAGCACUGAAGAGAGAAAGCCCUGCAGGUGGCCUGAGCAGCACAGUAGAGCUGGCCCUGGUUGUGGGGGUUGCCAGUGAGCUGCUGGCUUGAGGGCAGGAGAGCAGGAGAGCUGGCCCAACCCCUCCUCAGUGCAUGAUUGGUGAGAACAGGCCCUGUACCUCCCGUGGAUAGCACUGUAGAGCUGACCCUCAUGGUGUAGGUGUGGAUGUGUCAGCUCCAAGGACAUGUGAGUGGGAGAGCUGGCUCUGCCCCUUGCGGCCUGCAAUCUUAGAUGGGCCAGUCUGGGCGGAGCAAGAGAGCUCAUCCUGGUGGUGUGGCUACAGGAGAGCUGAUGAUACCUCAGGCUCAGAUAUCUCUCAGUCCCAGAGCUAGGAUUUUGAAUUAGAUCACCCCAAUAUCUACACCGUCUAUGAACUGCUGUAGUGUAUGAAGGGGCCGGUCCUACAGAUCCAAAACUACAGGAUUUCCAUGACACAGGGUAACAAUAGGUUAUCUGACACAAGUCCCAGUGAGGUUCCAGUACUGAUGGUGUAGCAGAAGCCAGAGGCCUUGUGACAGACAGACCAACGAGUCAUUGCAGUGAACAUUUGCAAGCAAAGAAGUGUGGACAAAAGGGUCUACUGUGGGACGUACUGUGACACACUACAGAUUCCACAAGGAAAUGUUUUUUCUUUCUUUAGGAGAGGCUGCAAUGUGUAAUGCAGGCAUGAAAGGUGGGGAGAUGAAUGGGAUUGGGGUGCAUGAUGUAAAAUUCAUAAAGAACCAAUAAAAAUG